GAGGAAAAGAAACUAACAAGGAUUCCCCUAGUAACGGCGAGUGAAGCGGGAAGAGCUCAAAUUUGAAAUCUGGUGGCCUCAGGUCAUCCGAGUUGUAAUCUAUAGAAGUGUUUUCCGUGCUGGCUCAUGUACAAGUCCCUUGGAACAGGGCGUCAUAGAGGGUGAGAAUCCCGUCCUUGACAUGAACUACCAGUGCUCUGUGAUACAUUUUCAACGAGUCGAGUUGUUUGGGAAUGCAGCUCAAAAUGGGUGGUAAAUUCCAUCUAAAGCUAAAUAUUGGCGAGAGACCGAUAGCGAACAAGUACCGUGAGGGAAAGAUGAAAAGCACUUUGGAAAGAGAGUUAAACAGUAUGUGAAAUUGUUGAAAGGGAAACGAUUGAAGUCAGUCGUGCUCUUUGGAUUCAGCCGGUUCUGCCGGUGUACUUCCUUUGAGUGGGGUCAACAUCAGUUUUGAUCGCUGGAUAAAGGCUGGAGGAACGUAGUACCCUCGGGUAAACUUAUAGCCUCCUGUCACAUACAGUGGUUGGGACUGAGGAACGCAGCACGCCUUUAUGGCCGGGAUUCGUCCACGUACGUGCUUAGGAUGUUGACAUAAUGGCUUUAAACGACCCGUCUUGAA
RNAcentral lists this ribosomal RNA (619 nucleotides) under Filobasidium magnum. Its description in RNAcentral is "eukaryotic LSU rRNA". It matches the Rfam family "Eukaryotic large subunit ribosomal RNA", at positions 53 to 658 of the family's 3401-position model. The record is from RNAcentral. Lineage: Eukaryota; Fungi; Basidiomycota; Tremellomycetes; Filobasidiales; Filobasidiaceae.